CAUUUAUGGUUAGAACUACAGCGGUAUCUAAUCGCCUUCGAACCUCUAACUUUCGUUCUUGAUUAAUGAAAACACCUUUGGCAAAUGCUUUCGCUUUAGUCCGUCUUGCGACGAUCCAAGAAUUUCACCUCUAACGUCGCAAUACGAAUGCCCCCAGUUGUCCCUAUUAAUCAUUACCUCUGGUAUCAGAAAGCCAACAAAACAGAACCGAGGUCCUAUUCUAUUAUUCCAUGCGUACAAUAUUCAGGCGAAACUUAGCCCGCUUUGAGA
Molecule: ribosomal RNA, 270 nt
Filed under: Rhyacophila tristis
Lineage: Eukaryota; Metazoa; Arthropoda; Insecta; Trichoptera; Rhyacophilidae
Description: partial 18S ribosomal RNA
Source: RNAcentral